Long non-coding RNA from Thalassophryne amazonica, 227 nucleotides. RefSeq lists it as uncharacterized. The transcript is spliced from 3 exons. The record is from RefSeq and is a predicted model, not a curated record. NCBI's taxonomy places the organism in Eukaryota, Metazoa, Chordata, Actinopteri, Batrachoidiformes, Batrachoididae.
AUGUUUGUGUCAGAUUGUCAAAGUGUUGAGUUUACAUAUGCUCUGCGUGGAACAAAUACUUUAUAUUCUCUGAUCAAUAAAUAAAGCUAAAGAUUUCAAUAACAAUCUGUCUUACAUAAAAAUGGAUCCUUAGUAAUGUUGCUGAUGACAAAACCUAGGGAUUAAUGUUCAUGAUCUACUGUAGCACAUGGGCUAAAGCACACAGCACAAGUGCAUUUGGGACAUGU